This 823-nucleotide ribosomal RNA is filed under the name Neosetophoma poaceicola. RNAcentral describes it as "partial 28S large subunit ribosomal RNA". It matches the Rfam family "Eukaryotic large subunit ribosomal RNA", at positions 72 to 914 of the family's 3401-position model. Lineage: Eukaryota; Fungi; Ascomycota; Dothideomycetes; Pleosporales; Phaeosphaeriaceae. The record is from RNAcentral.
GGAUUGCCCUAGUAACGGCGAGUGAAGCGGCAACAGCUCAAAUUUGAAAUCUGGCUCUUUUAGAGUCCGAGUUGUAAUUUGCAGAGGGCGCUUUGGCGUUGGCAGCGGUCCAAGUUCUUUGGAACAGGACGUCACAGAGGGUGAGAAUCCCGUACGUGGUCGCUAGCCUUCGCCGUGUAAAGCCCCUUCGACGAGUCGAGUUGUUUGGGAAUGCAGCUCUAAAUGGGAGGUAAAUUUCUUCUAAAGCUAAAUACUGGCCAGAGACCGAUAGCGCACAAGUAGAGUGAUCGAAAGAUGAAAAGCACUUUGGAAAGAGAGUCAAAUAGCACGUGAAAUUGUUGAAAGGGAAGCGCUUGCAGCCAGACUUGCCUGUAGUUGCUUAUCCGGACUUUUGUCCGGUGCACUCUUCUGCGGGCAGGCCAGCAUCAGUCUAGGCGGUUGGAUAAAGGUCUCUGUCAUGUACCUCUCUUCGGGGAGGCCUUAUAGGGGAGACGACAUGCAACCAGCCUGGACUGAGGUCCGCGCAUCUGCUAGGAUGCUGGCGUAAUGGCUGUAAGCGGCCCGUCUUGAAACACGGACCAAGGAGUCUAACAUCUAUGCGAGUGUUUGGGUGUCAAGCCCAGACGCGUAAUGAAAGUGAACGGAGGUGGGAACCCUUUGGGUGCACCAUCGACCGAUCCUGAUGUCUUCGGAUGGAUUUGAGUAAGAGCAUGGCUGUUGGGACCCGAAAGAUGGUGAACUAUGCUUGAAUAGGGUGAAGCCAGAGGAAACUCUGGUGGAGGCUCGCAGCGGUUCUGACGUGCAAAUCGAUCGUCAAAUUUGG